RNAcentral lists this transfer RNA (76 nucleotides) under Candidatus Dadabacteria bacterium. RNAcentral describes it as "tRNA-Trp". It matches the Rfam family "tRNA". From Rfam's summary of the family: Transfer RNA (tRNA) molecules are approximately 80 nucleotides in length. Lineage: Bacteria; Pseudomonadati; Thermodesulfobacteriota; Candidatus Dadabacteria. The record is from RNAcentral.
ACGCCCGUGGCUCAACUGGUAGAGCAUCGGAUUCCAAAUCCGAGGGUUGGGGGUUCGAGUCCCUCCGGGCGUGCCA